This 58-nucleotide transfer RNA is filed under the name Salmo salar (Atlantic salmon). It matches the Rfam family "tRNA", at positions 8 to 63 of the family's 71-position model. Rfam says of the family: Transfer RNA (tRNA) molecules are approximately 80 nucleotides in length. Their secondary structure includes four short double-helical elements and three loops (D, anti-codon, and T loops). Lineage: Eukaryota; Metazoa; Chordata; Actinopteri; Salmoniformes; Salmonidae. The record is from Rfam by way of RNAcentral.
UGGCUCAGUUGGUAGAGCAUGGCACUUCGAACACUAGGACUGUGGGUUCAAUUCCCAU